RNAcentral lists this long non-coding RNA (274 nucleotides) under Elaeis guineensis (African oil palm). RNAcentral describes it as "long non-coding RNA (EGUI_LNC079181)". The record is from RNAcentral. Lineage: Eukaryota; Viridiplantae; Streptophyta; Magnoliopsida; Arecales; Arecaceae.
CCUCACCUAAUAGUUAUUAGGCCCAACUCUAUCUUUAUCUCGGGGCAUCUGAUGCUAAUAUAGUGAUUGUACCUUCUCGAUGCAACUGAACCACUGUAACCAGCCAAAAAUGAUCAACAUCGAAAAAGGCACCCGCAUCUCUACAACGGUGGAAGACCAGUAGACUUAAUAUUCAGUGAGGAGAUUUAGGUUCAGGUCUCUUCUAAUUAGUCACAUAUAUUUGAUGUAGUGACUAGUAUGAUUUAGGUCAGUAUAUUUUAUGUCUGACCAACCU